This 284-nucleotide unclassified non-coding RNA is filed under the name uncultured bacterium. RNAcentral's name for it is "contains 16S-23S intergenic spacer region". The record is from RNAcentral.
CAAUCGACGGCGCGAACAACGAUGAGGGGUGGGGCCGCCAAACGGCGAUAGCAACCGUGCCGAUCGGGUCCGUGCAGGAAUUCGCGGUGCUCACGAAUGCGUUUUCUGCCGAGUUCGGCUGGACCGCCGGCCCCGCAUUGAACAUCGUCACCAAGUCCGGCACGAACCUUUUUCACGGCGAAGGAGUAUUCAUGGUUCGUCCCGGUGACUGGCAGGCAGAGAGAUUCUCGACCAAGAACUUCUGCGCGCCAUCCGUAUCCAGUUGCAUUACACCCACCACGCUC